GGAGGGCUUUGAUUCCUCAAUCAUAGGUUCAAUUCCUAU
Molecule: transfer RNA, 39 nt
Filed under: Nyctimantis arapapa
Lineage: Eukaryota; Metazoa; Chordata; Amphibia; Anura; Hylidae
Description: partial tRNA-Gln
Source: RNAcentral